ACUCAAAGGAAUUGACGGGGGCCCGCACAAGCGGUGGAGCAUGUGGUUUAAUUCGAUGCAACGCGAAGAACCUUACCUACUCUUGACAUACCAGAAAGAACGCAGAGAUGUGUUUGUGCCUUCGGGAAUCUGGAUACAGGUGCUGCAUGGCUGUCGUCAGCUCGUGUCGUGAGAUGUUGGGUUAAGUCCCGUAACGAGCGCAACCCUUAUCUAUAGUUGCUAGCAGGUUAAGCUGAGGACUCUAUAGAGACUGCCAGUGAUAAACUGGAGGAAGGUGGGGACGACGUCAAGUCAUCAUGGCCCUUACGAGUAGGGCUACACACGUGCUACAAUGGUCGGUACAACGGGAAGCGAAGGGGUGACCUGGAGCGAAACCUAAAAAGCCGAUCGUAGUCCGGAUUGAAGUCUGCAACUCGACUUCAUGAAGUUGGAAUCGCUAGUAAUCGCGAAUCAGAAUGUCGCGGUGAAUACGUUCCCGGGCCUUGCACACACCGCCCGU
Molecule: ribosomal RNA, 499 nt
Filed under: uncultured bacterium
Lineage: Bacteria
Description: partial 16S ribosomal RNA
Rfam family: Bacterial small subunit ribosomal RNA
Source: RNAcentral